UGGGGAAUUUUGGACAAUGGGCGAAAGCCUGAUCCAGCAAUGCCGCGUGUGUGAAGAAGGCCUUCGGGUUGUAAAGCACUUUUGUCCGGAAAGAAAUCCUCUGGGUUAAUACCUCGGGGGGAUGACGGUACCGGAAGAAUAAGCACCGGCUAACUACGUGCCAGCAGCCGCGGUAAUACGUAGGGUGCAAGCGUUAAUCGGAAUUACUGGGCGUAAAGCGUGCGCAGGCGGUUUUGUAAGACGGAUGUGAAAUCCCCGGGCUUAACCUGGGAACUGCAUUCGUGACUGCAAGGCUAGAGUAUGGCAGAGGGGGGUAGAAUUCCACGUGUAGCAGUGAAAUGCGUAGAGAUGUGGAGGAAUACCGAUGGCGAAGGCAGCCCCCUGGGCCAAUACUGACGCUCAUGCACGAAAGCGUGGGGAGCAAACAGGAUUAGAUACCCUGGUAGUCCACGCCCUAAACGAUGUCAACUAGUUGUUGGGGAUUCAUUUCCUUAGUAACGUAGCUAACGCGUGAAGUUGACCGCCUGGGGAGUACGGUCGCAAGAUUAAAACUUCAAAUGAAUUGACGGGGUCAUAGCUGUUUCC
Molecule: ribosomal RNA, 585 nt
Filed under: uncultured bacterium
Lineage: Bacteria
Description: partial 16S ribosomal RNA
Rfam family: Bacterial small subunit ribosomal RNA
Source: RNAcentral